This 253-nucleotide ribosomal RNA is filed under the name uncultured bacterium. RNAcentral describes it as "partial 16S ribosomal RNA". It matches the Rfam family "Bacterial small subunit ribosomal RNA", at positions 524 to 776 of the family's 1533-position model. The record is from RNAcentral.
UACGGAGGAUGCAAGCGUUAUUCGGAAUGAUUGGGCGUAAAGCGUCCGCAGGUGGCUGUGUAAGUCUGCUGUCAAAGAGCGAAGCUCAACUUCGUAAAGGCAGUGGAAACUACACGGCUAGAGUGCGUUCGGGGCAGAGGGAAUUCCUGGUGUAGCGGUGAAAUGCGUAGAGAUCAGGAAGAACACCGGUGGCGAAGGCGCUCUGCUAGGCCGCAACUGACACUGAGGGACGAAAGCUAGGGGAGCGAAUGGG